This is a long non-coding RNA of Pungitius pungitius (ninespine stickleback), 223 nucleotides long. RefSeq lists it as uncharacterized. The transcript is spliced from 3 exons. NCBI's taxonomy places the organism in Eukaryota, Metazoa, Chordata, Actinopteri, Perciformes, Gasterosteidae. The record is from RefSeq and is a predicted model, not a curated record.
CUCGGAUCAAGCUAACGUAAAAUCAGUCCAAACUCUGGUGCAAAGGGACGAAAACGAAGAAAAGCAGCAGGAGGAGAAGAAAGCCCUGUAAAGAGAUGCCCUCCAGAAACAUUUGCAGAGACACUCACCUCCUGAAGAAAGCUCAGCUGAUCCCCAGGUUCACCUUUCUCUGAACCUUCUGCAGGUGAAGAGACAUGUAGGAUCACACCUGGCACAGCAGCCA